This 497-nucleotide ribosomal RNA is filed under the name uncultured bacterium. RNAcentral describes it as "partial 16S ribosomal RNA". It matches the Rfam family "Bacterial small subunit ribosomal RNA", at positions 28 to 507 of the family's 1533-position model. The record is from RNAcentral.
GAUGAACGCUGGCGGCGUGCCUAAUACAUGCAAGUCGAACGCAUAGCGAAAGGUGCUUGCACCUUUCAAGUGAGUGGCGAACGGGUGAGUAACACGUGGACAACCUGCCCCAAGGCUGGGGAUAACAUUUGGAAACAGAUGCUAAUACCGAAUAAAACUUAGUGUCGCAUGACACAAAGUUAAAAGGCGCUUCGGCGUCACCUAGAGAUGGAUCCGCGGUGCAUUAGUUAGUUGGUGGGGUAAAGGCCUACCAAGACAAUGAUGCAUAGCCGAGUUGAGAGACUGAUCGGCCACAUUGGGACUGAGACACGGCCCAAACUCCUACGGGAGGCUGCAGUAGGGAAUCUUCCACAAUGGGCGAAAGCCUGAUGGAGCAACGCCGCGUGUGUGAUGAAGGCUUUCGGGUCGUAAAGCACUGUUGUAUGGGAAGAACAGCUAGAAUAGGAAAUGAUUUUAGUUUGACGGUACCAUACCAGAAAGGGACGGCUAAAUACGUG